UCCGGGCGCGCGGAAUUCAGGACCGAUCGUCGUUCGUUCGCGGACGGCGGUCGACUCGAUAUUUCCGCCGCCGACCCUCGACCGAGGGUGUCGGACGUCGCGACCCGUUCGCCACGGUCGAUGCUCAGGGACGCGCCUCGAGUUCGCCCGCGCUUCCGUUUCGGCGGUCGCGCGACGACGGCGCGUUUCCACUGUCAUCGGCGCGGACGGUAGCUUUGCGCGCGGGUAAUCGACGCGGCCCGUUCGUUCGGCGUCCUCGUACGUCGGACGGCGCUCGCGUCGACGCCGGUCAGCGACGAAUCUUCGGGCCUCUUUCCGACCCGUCUUGAAACACGGACCAAGGAGUCUAGCGUGCGCGCGAGUCGCGGGGUAUCCGAGUCGUAGUAGUCGUUUCGGCGGCGAACGCGACUCGUCACGAUACGAAACCCGUGUACGUACGUUGUGCGAAGGCGUAAUGAAAGUGAAGGGCGACGCUUCGCGCGUCGCCGAGGGAAGACGGUGUUCCGUGCACACGUUUCGCGGUCACGCGUGUACCGCGGCCGGAUACCCGCAUUCCCAGGGCGUCCCGCUCGUACGUCGGCGGUCGGGGUUUCGGCUUCGGUCGUCGGCGAACUGGGGCGCACCUACAGCGUGCACGCUGGUACCCGAAAGAUGGUGAACUAUGCCCGGCCAGGAUGAAGUCAGGGGAAACCCUGAUGGAGGUCCGCAGCGAUUCUGACGUGCAAAUCGAUCGUCUGAGCUGGGUAUAGGGGCGAAAGACUAAUCG
Molecule: ribosomal RNA, 766 nt
Filed under: Coccus longulus
Lineage: Eukaryota; Metazoa; Arthropoda; Insecta; Hemiptera; Coccidae
Description: partial 28S ribosomal RNA
Rfam family: Eukaryotic large subunit ribosomal RNA (bases 337-766)
Source: RNAcentral